RNAcentral lists this ribosomal RNA (427 nucleotides) under uncultured bacterium. RNAcentral's name for it is "bacterial SSU rRNA". It matches the Rfam family "Bacterial small subunit ribosomal RNA", at positions 355 to 774 of the family's 1533-position model. The record is from RNAcentral.
UGGGGAAUUUUGGACAAUGGGCGCAAGCCUGAUCCAGCAAUGCCGCGUGCAGGAAGAAGGCCUUCGGGUUGUAAACCGCUUUUGUCAGGGAAGAAACGAGUUUCUCUAAUACAGAGACUUAAUGACGGUACCUGAAGAAUAAGCACCGGCUAACUACGUGCCGGCAGCCGCGGUAAUACGUAGGGUGCAAGCGUUAAUCGGAAUUACUGGGCGUAAAGCGUGCGCAGGCGGUGAUGUAAGACAGAUGUGAAAUCCCCGGGCUCAACCUGGGAACUGCCUUUGUGACUGCAUAGCUAGAGUACGGUAGAGGGGGAUGGAAUUCCGCGUGUAGCAGUGAAAUGCGUAGAUAUGCGGAGGAACACCGAUGGCGAAGGCAAUCCCCUGGACCUGUACUGACGCUCAUGCACGAAAGCGUGGGGAGCAAACA